AUGAAACCAUGAAUGAAAACCUUGAAUUCCUCUCUCGUGAAGUUUGUUUCCCCCUUUUUUUUUUCUUUCUAUGGCUUGGAGUUUUCCAAUAUUGUUGUUUUCUUGUAGCGCAUCUAUAGUGUGUUGUGAGUUAAUAUAUAAUAGUGCAUGUAUGUAGUUGUGUCAUGUGUGUGUUCCAGAAAAAGGUGGGACGUGGGAAAGGUUAGUGUGAGGGAGUUUAGGGAGUGGUUUGGAGGGAGUGGGUAUGUGGGGGAGUAGUUUAGGGUUUCUUUUUUUUCUUUUUUUUUUUAAAAUUAUUUUAAAAUUAAUGUUUUAAAUAAAAAUAAAGAAAAAAUAAAAUAAAAUUUAUCUAAAACCAAUAAAAUAUAAGUUAAAUAAUUAGUCUUAAAACAUGAUUUCGAAGUAUUAAUAUCACUAAAUUAUUUAUUAAUUAGGUGUUUACAGAUUUUAAUAAUAACAAACUAAUUAUCGAUAAUAUGCAGGAUACACGAAGAUGUAAUCAAGGCAAAAAAAAUCAUCAUGGAGCUAAACUUGGAGAAGCAUCUCGUGUAAUCCCUAACUAUAAAAAAGUCAUAGCUCGAUUUGGAAUAACAUCAAUAAAAGAUCUCAUUAGAUCCCAAAAUACAAGGAAGACAAUUGGCAAAUUACAGAGUAACAUGAAAAGAAGAUGUCAUAAGAUGCCAAAUCAGGAUAAAUCUUUGUGUUAUUUUCUUACUUGCUUAUUUAUUUACAAAUUUGAGUUUGCUCUAUUUUGACUAUCAAGGCUAAUUAGUCGACUCAGAAAAAGUUUUAAAUUUACCCUCAGUCUUCUUGAAUUUUACGUCAUUGUUAGCCUUGAUCUAUUACACUCUCUUUUGAGUUGGCAAUCUUUCAUCUUAAUUUUAUCUCUAAGACAAUGCCUACUGCAUUUUGGUUCUAAUUCUACCUAACUCACGUUGCCCUAAUCUAUAUCCAAGUUAUUUUACCCCAUAUAAAUAGUCCCUCCAUUUUUCAGGAGUAGUAUCAUUGCGGGCAGGAGACGAAAAAGCAAAAUAAAAGAAGCCUUUGUCCGACCAACGCUGGCAUACUUACUUAAAUAUUGAGCGGCAUUUUGAUUCUGUAGCGUAGUUCUUUUGAUAAAGUAUAUUAUUUCACUCCUCAUAUGAUCUUGGUCCCAAUUAUAGGUUGACAGCUUUGAGGCCAUGCACUCGACACUAUAGUUUUGUCUCGAAUAUUUUUCUAUAGUUUUGUCUCGAAUAUUUUUUCUUUUUGAUGUGAAAAAUGAGCAGGCGCCUAUUAAUCUUAACGAUUUCUAUCUUCCUCUUUUCUCGUUUAUUAGCUGCUGGAACUCGCAGAAUAUUCUCCCAUGUUAUCUAAAACUGCGCCCUUAGAAAUAAUAGAAAGGCUCUUGAUGUUUCGUCUACUGAGUCUUUUCACAUCUUUUGCGGAUAGCCAUUUAUGUGUCCUUUAUUCAGGUUCUUCCCUUUUUUCCUACUUGACAAUUCCUUGCCUAUAAAUUCUAGGCUUUUUUGACUCUUUCUCUAUAUAUGUUCUCUCUUCAAGCCAUCUUAUAUUAGAAAAAUAAAAUGACAAGUUCUCUCGAUGCUAAUACAUUUACCCUUAGUAUUUCUUAUAGUCCUUGAUUUAUUAUUAUCUUAGACCCCAGUGAACUAUUUAUUGUGUCACUGCUCAAGAUUGCAAUGAGAGUGAGGAAAGGACUAUGGACAAAACCUAGAGUGAAGGUGGUGGUUAAUCUCAGACCAACCACACCUCUCUGCAGCGAUCAUUGCUUUUUUCUUUGAUGUUGAGAUCCAUUAGCUCUAUAGAAGGUACCUGACCAUGGCAAGGGACUCCACACUCUGAGUGACUCAUACUAACCUCUGAUGGCAUACCCAAUGCAAGGAAAAACCUGCCCUCUCCAAAUGUUUAUAAAGAUACAUUAUUAUGAGGGUGCCCGUCCUACACAUCUACUCCAUUCAUCGACUUUGAUUUCUAUCAAAAGUGUAGUUAUAUUAUAUCGUAAUCAUUAGGAGGAGCGGAUGAAUUUUGUUUCCAAAGGUCCCUUAGCUAGGACGAGUACUUCUUUCAAAGAGAACAGGGGAUGCUCGAGCACCGUGAUCUGAGGUACUCUCUAUCUGCUUCCAAGGGAGGGAAACACAACUAGAAACUUCUUGAGCUAGAUUUUUUCCGAAUACCAAUCGACUGUUUCUUUCUACCACAUGUGCUUUUAUCUUUGUUGUAUAUUAGAAUUCAAAGUUUCUUGUAUCAUGUGACCUUUUUCCUCAUUUUAGGGAUAGUACUGUAACAACCAUAAAUGAAGCUUUUAUUUACUUAAUUCUUCAUUUAAUCCCUACUGAGUUUACCUAUCACCUUUGUGAAUAUUUCUUUUGAGCCAAUCAUGUAGUUUUCAAAGAAAUGACCAUGUUCAUGCCCCAACUUUAGGCCAAUGAUUUUUCUUUUUGGAAACAUAAUUGUCGCAUCUCUUUCCCCUUCUAGUUUACCUUUCUAAGCAUUUGCCCCUAAACGAACAAACAACAUUAUCAUCUCAGAGUCCCUAGUUUGGGUCAUCUAUGUUUGAACGACUGCCUAAUGUCAUAGAUAGUUUUCACUUUUAUGGAGGAAAGACUUCUGAGAAUUCUACUGUGACAUGAGGGUUUAGGCCUUUGUAUGCUAUCUUUUUAUUUGCCUUAAUGUCUUUUAAGGAUACCUUAUCAGCAACCUCGGCUUGGGCUAAUCGAGACUUUGUAGAGUCCAAGAUCUAAGCUAAUUUUUUGGUUUGGUUAGUCUCUUACAACACGGGAAAUUUUUUCCCUCUCAGAAGUGUGGCAUCUUUCGUCUGUCUUAACGUGGAUCAUUUAAAUUUGCCUUGAGCUUUAUGCUAGAUAUCUUGAGAUGAGCCCUUAUACAAAGUCUUACAUUAGUCGACUAGAUUCCUUGACUUUCUACCCCUUCAUUUUUUCAGACCAAGACUCCAACUACCUCGAGAUCUAAAUUAUUAAAUCUUGAGUUGGGAAAAUUUCAAGGCCUCUGUCAUGGCCCAAACUAGGUUCUGGCCGUGAUGGGUAUCUCAAGUACAACAAGGACCGGAGACUACCCCUUUCUCCUAGCCAAACAAAACACAAUACCCCUAACGUCGAUUGAAUUCUGAACAUUAACAAGAUAGCAUAAGACAAGCUCAAAGAAAUCAAGCUUUGUCUAUAAUCGAUAAUCGAUAACCUACCAAAACAACCAACCAAUAUCACCACCCAAGUCCACAGUAAUCCACAAAGCCUUCUAACAAAAUCAAAAUCAUUAAAGUGUCGGGACAUGACCCCGACCCUGACAAUGACAAUGACAAUAUGAACUAUCAAUUCUAAUCUAUGAAAUAAAAGAUGACAAAAUGCCCAAGUCUUUUGGUGAAUGGAAGCUCACCACUUCACCAUAAUGAUUGACGAACCGAGCUGAUCCACCUAAUCACUACACAAGAUAAGAAGAAGUAUCUCUGGUGCCUGCAUCGCGUGGGCAUAUAAUGUCUGAAUAUGGUUAGUGGGUUGAGCACUAGUGCGUGUAGCCACACGAACCAGAGGAUAUACAUAUGCACCACGGGGAACCUUCCUGCAUACCAAGGUGACUUAAGCACCCAAUCGUGUAAUAUAAUAUGGAAGAAUCGAACCUUCUAAUCAUAUAGUAAGGGAGACUCAAACCAUCUGACCAUUUUGACCCCCGCAUCGGCAAUCGCAGUUUCUAGUAUCGGCCCCUCAGGACCUCCACUUUCAUGAAUCAGCUACACAAUCCUCUUUUAAUCACCAUUAAAAUAUUUUCAUACAUUCGAAUUCAUUGAACCAUAAUACACAUUUAGGCAUGUACUGUUGGUAUCAUCAUACUAACUAUACUUGCAAGGUAACAUCAAUAUGCCAAACCAAUUAUCAUCACUUGGGGGAAUUCACAACCCCCUUGGUUUAAUUAUACAUUAGCUUAGGAAAUUACACAACUCCAUAAGGUUCAAAAUCAUUUGUUUCAUUAGCUUUUCACAUUAUGCAAUAGUUCAAAAAUAGUUCAGUAUGCAUAAUUUUCAUAUUCAAAACCAAUUUCACAAUAUAGGGUUGAGGUCAUUACCACUUCAAUUGUCAAUAUUUACAAAAUUAGGAGAAAUCACAAUCCCCUAGUUUAUUCACCAUAACCAUGCACCCCACAAGUUCAAAACCCUUAAUAAAGCAUGAACAAUCAUAUGUAAACCGUGAGAAACAUUGUUUAGACACAAACAUUGAAAACUCCUCAACCCAUGUUCCAAAACCAAUCAAAACCACAUGAAUUGUAAUUUAAAACCCAUAAUUUAACAAAAUAAUAAUGGGGGAAGAGUAACAUACCUAAAACACCAAUUUUUAUAAAGAGAAUUCAAUCCUUGAGCCCUUAGAUGACUUACUUCUUGGAAACCCUAAGUAUCUUGACUUGGAGAGUUUUGAGAGAAGAAAAUGUGUUUUUGAUUAUGUUAUGAAUGAGAAAUAAUCCACUUGAGUGCUUUAUGGACAUGGGGUUUUAAUUGGGUAAGAAGGAAAUUGUCUAAAGUGCCCUAGACUUAAAAGCUGAAAAAUUAUCGUAGUGACUACGGGUCACACUGCGACACGUUACGACUUAUCACCGCGAAUUGUAGCCAAGACAGUUCCAUUAGACACACAUAUUGCUGGCCUUACGACUUAUAUUCAUAUGACUCGUUAGGGGUCCCUACGACUCGUAGGGUCAUAGUCGUCACUAGGACAUCAACACUUGGAACAUAUACUGGUUUGACUACGGUUGGGACAUCAUGACUCGUAAUGAGUCCAUAUGACUCAUUAGGAGACACUCAUACUCAAAACAGAAAACUUAUCCACUCACGCUAGUUAGGCUACAAUUGGGUCCUAACAAUUCGUCAAGACUCCCUACUACUCUUAAGGGUAGUCAUAGUCAGAACAGUGAGUAUAAAACUUCAGAAACUUUCAAGGGUAAAAACUUCGAGGUGUUGCAGCCUCGAUUUCCAAGUACCAUUAUUUUUGGUUUUAUCCUAAUUAAUUGAGCCACCUAUGUGGCAAUUAUCUAGGUUCUUUGACCAUUCCCACAUUUAACAAGGUUUUCACUGUAAAUGAAUGCCUUUUAGACCUAGUGCCACAGUUUCUCCCACCUUGUUGUUGAGAAAGAAAAUAAUUAGUAUAGAUCUUGUCCCCUUUUUCUUUCAUGGCGCUCCUCUCUAGCUUUCUUGAUUAUCUUGGUUUUGAGUCAAGUGUCUCUCAUAGUUUUUUUUUCUUAUCCUUGUUUUUUAUCUCAAAGUUUGUCUUAGGGUGACUUCAUUGCGGUUGUAGGCGAGGGUAAGGUACAAACUAUGGGCGAGAGAGGACUAUAACAGAUUCCCUCGCUCUUACGGCGGAUGCAGAUAUAGAAGGCUCAACAGGUUGUAUCGAUUCACUUUGCAGGCAUGUCUUUUCAAAAGAACAAUAAUGCCAGUGAAUAAAAUUACACAGUGACAUCUACAUGGGGCCAUGGUGCCUCUUCCUUAGUUUUGUAUUUUUUAUUUCUUAUAUGAAAGCUUUAUACUGAUUUUCUUUCUAUAAUAAAUUUAGUAUGUGUUAAUUUUAUGGUAUGUUUUUCGCACAUAUAUUUAUUUAUAAACAUAUUUUGUUAAAUUCUUCUCCUCAUGGUUAUGAUUACCUUUUUAUUAGAGUCACUCGAAGGAUUGGGUCGUUACUGCUGGUUGUACUAUCAAUGUCCGUUAGUAAGUAUUGAAAUGUUUGGAUUGACGAUUGGAGACAUUCACUAACUAUUUUUAAAUUUUGCGUGCUUCCCGCAAUGUCUAAGUUGGUUACAAUUUGACUCUAGGUGCUUUCGACUUUUUU
This 5822-nucleotide long non-coding RNA is filed under the name Capsicum annuum. RNAcentral's name for it is "long non-coding RNA (CANN_LNC019587)". Lineage: Eukaryota; Viridiplantae; Streptophyta; Magnoliopsida; Solanales; Solanaceae. The record is from RNAcentral.